This 1474-nucleotide ribosomal RNA is filed under the name Heteroscytonema cf. crispum ACT685. Its description in RNAcentral is "bacterial SSU rRNA". It matches the Rfam family "Bacterial small subunit ribosomal RNA". Lineage: Bacteria; Bacillati; Cyanobacteriota; Cyanophyceae; Nostocales; Heteroscytonemataceae. The record is from RNAcentral.
AGAGUUUGAUCCUGGCUCAGGAUGAACGCUGGCGGUAUGCUUAACACAUGCAAGUCGAACGAAGCCUUCGGGCUUAGUGGCGGACGGGUGAGUAACGCGUGAGAAUCUGCCUUCAGGUCUGGGACAACCACUGGAAACGGUGGCUAAUACCGGAUGUGCUUCACGGUGAAAGAUUAAUCGCCUGGAGAUGAGCUCGCGUCUGAUUAGCUAGUUGGUGGGGUAAGAGCCUACCAAGGCGACGAUCAGUAACUGGUCUGAGAGGAUGAUCAGUCACACUGGAACUGAGACACGGUCCAGACUCCUACGGGAGGCAGCAGUGGGGAAUUUUCCGCAAUGGGCGAAAGCCUGACGGAGCAAUACCGCGUGAGGGAGGAAGGCUCUUGGGUUGUAAACCUCUUUUCUCAGGGAAGAAGACAAUGACGGUACCUGAGGAAUAAGCAUCGGCUAACUCCGUGCCAGCAGCCGCGGUAAUACGGAGGAUGCAAGCGUUAUCCGGAAUGAUUGGGCGUAAAGCGUCCGCAGGUGGUUUUGUAAGUCUGCUGUUAAAGCGUCAUGCUCAACAUGAUAAAGGCAGUGGAAACUACUGAACUCGAGUGCGUUCGGGGCAGAGGGAAUUCCUGGUGUAGCGGUGAAAUGCGUAGAGAUCAGGAAGAACACCGGUGGCGAAAGCGCUCUGCUAGGCCGCAACUGACACUGAGGGACGAAAGCUAGGGGAGCGAAUGGGAUUAGAUACCCCAGUAGUCCUAGCCGUAAACGAUGGAUACUAGGUGUUGCUUGUAUCGACCCGAGCAGUACCGUAGCUAACGCGUUAAGUAUCCCGCCUGGGGAGUACGCACGCAAGUGUGAAACUCAAAGGAAUUGACGGGGGCCCGCACAAGCGGUGGAGUAUGUGGUUUAAUUCGAUGCAACGCGAAGAACCUUACCAGGACUUGACAUGUCGCGAAUUUCGGUGAAAGCUGAAAGUGCCUUCGGGAGCGCGAACACAGGUGGUGCAUGGCUGUCGUCAGCUCGUGUCGUGAGAUGUUGGGUUAAGUCCCGCAACGAGCGCAACCCUCGUUCUUAGUUGCCAGCAUUCAGUUGGGCACUCUAGGGAGACUGCCGGUGACAAACCGGAGGAAGGUGGGGAUGACGUCAAGUCAGCAUGCCCCUUACGUCCUGGGCUACACACGUACUACAAUGCUACGAACAAAGGGCAGCGACACAGCGAUGUGAUGCAAAUCUCAGAAAUCGUGGCUCAGUUCAGAUCGCAGGCUGCAACUCGCCUGCGUGAAGUCGGAAUCGCUAGUAAUUGCAGGUCAGCAUACUGCAGUGAAUUCGUUCCCGGGCCUUGUACACACCGCCCGUCACACCAUGGAAGCUGGUAGUGCCCGAAGUCAUUACCCCAACCUUUCGAGGAGGGGGAUGCCUAAGGCAGGACUGGUGACUGGGGUGAAGUCGUAACAAGGUAGCCGUACCGGAAGGUGUGGCUGGAUCA